AGAGCUGGUCCUUUGGUCAAGCAGUUCUGUGAGCUGGCACUUUUCUGGGAAGGUCCGGAGCUGGCCUUCAGGACACCGAAGAGGAUGCCUCUCCCGGAUGGGCUAGGCGGCUGGGGGGACCAUGUUCUGUGGCACUGUAGAAAAAGGAGAGACAGAUCCAGACCCUGUUUGAACAGCUGGGAUCAGAAGGAUAUGCACAGAUGACACCAUGGGGCAGAAAGAGACAGAGAUGAACCCAGCGAUUCCAUGGCACAGAGAGACAGAAAGGCAGCAGCAAGGGCAGAGAGAAAGGGGGCCAAGAGAAGCAUCCACCAGAGGAUGCUUCCAAUCAGAUCCACCUGGGGUAUAGGAAAUAUAUAAAUACAAGGA
This is a long non-coding RNA of Suricata suricatta (meerkat), 369 nucleotides long. RefSeq lists it as uncharacterized. NCBI's taxonomy places the organism in Eukaryota, Metazoa, Chordata, Mammalia, Carnivora, Herpestidae. The record is from RefSeq and is a predicted model, not a curated record. The transcript is spliced from 2 exons.